GAAAUGCGAUAAGUAAUGUGAAUUGCAGAAUUCAGUGAAUCAUCGAAUCUUUGAACGCACAUUGCGCCCGCCAGUAUUCUGGCGGGCAUGCCUGUCCGAGCGUCAUUUCAACCAUCAAGCCCCCGGGCUUGUGUUGGGGACCUGCGGCUGCCCGCAGGCCCUGAAAACCAGUGGCGGGCUCGCUGUCACACCGAGCGUAGUAGCAAUCACCUCGCUCAGGGCGUGCUGCGGGUUCCGGCCGUUAAACAGCCUUACAAAACCCAAGGUUGACCUCGGAUCAGGUAGGAAGACCCGCUGAGCUUAAGC
Molecule: unclassified non-coding RNA, 306 nt
Filed under: plant metagenome
Description: partial contains 5.8S ribosomal RNA, internal transcribed spacer 2, and large subunit ribosomal RNA
Rfam family: 5.8S ribosomal RNA (bases 1-105)
Source: RNAcentral